Molecule: ribosomal RNA, 549 nt
Filed under: uncultured bacterium
Lineage: Bacteria
Description: bacterial SSU rRNA
Rfam family: Bacterial small subunit ribosomal RNA
Source: RNAcentral
GGGGAAUCUUCCGCAAUGGACGAAAGUCUGACGGAGCAACGCCGCGUGAGUGAUGACGGCCUUCGGGUUGUAAAGCUCUGUUAAUCGGGACGAAUGGUUCUUGUGCGAAUAGUGCGAGGAUUUGACGGUACCGGAAUAGAAAGCCACGGCUAACUACGUGCCAGCAGCCGCGGUAAUACGUAGGUGGCAAGCGUUGUCCGGAAUUAUUGGGCGUAAAGCGCGCGCAGGCGGAUUGGUCAGUCUGUCUUAAAAGUUCGGGGCUUAACCCCGUGAUGGGAUGGAGACUGCCAAUCUAUAGUAUCGGAGAGGAAAGUGGAAUUCCUAGUGUAGCGGUGAAAUGCGUAGAUAUUAGGAAGAACACCAGUGGCGAAGGCGACUUUCUGGACGAAAACUGACGCUGAGGCGCGAAAGCCAGGGGAGCGAACGGGAUUAGAUACCCCGGUAGUCCUGGCCGUAAACGAUGGGUACUAGGUGUAGGAGGUAUCGACCCCUUCUGUGCCGGAGUUAACGCAAUAAGUACCCCGCCUGGGGAGUACGACCGCAAGGUUG